UGUAACUAAUUAUAACAUAUAUUCCUAUAAAUUUACAAUUAUAAUUAUCCAUAGCUUUUGAUUGUGUUUCCAAAAUGAAUAACAACCUUUAAUCACAAUGUCAUCUCCACCUCUUGCUUCUAUAUAACUCAUCUCAUAUGUCUCUAUAAAAUCCCACAAUACUUAUGUCUUGCUAAAGAAAAAACAAAUAUGAGCUAUAAUACAAAGUUAGUAGUUCUCAUGUUUCUUAUUUUCACUAUCACCUCUACUGAUGUAUCAAACGCUACCCCUCGUCAUUUUGUGAAUCUCAGGUCGGAGAAGGGUAUUGAUGAUGUUAAGGAGGGUAGCGAAAUAAAGGAGAGGGAGCUUGUGGAGUUUCAUCUAGACUAUGCACGAACAGGAGCCAAUCAAGAUCAUGAACCAGGGAAAGGAAAACCAUAAAAGCAAACUUAAACCAUUCAUAAAAUAAUGAGCUUCAUUAAACGAAUAAUAUAUUUACCAAUCAAAACAAAAAAUACCAUGCAUGUAUACAUAUAUGAUGUAAUGGACCAAGCUUUAGGGAAAUAUUACAGUAAUAAAUGAAAAAGAUACGUAUGCAUGCAUAUGACUUUAAGUUUUUAUCAUGUGAGUCUUUGUCUCAUUGACAUUAAGUGUCAUGUUAAGUAUUCGUUUGUUAUGUGA
Long non-coding RNA from Arabidopsis lyrata subsp. lyrata, 660 nucleotides. RefSeq lists it as uncharacterized. The record is from RefSeq and is a predicted model, not a curated record. Lineage: Eukaryota; Viridiplantae; Streptophyta; Magnoliopsida; Brassicales; Brassicaceae. The transcript has 2 exons.